GUCCAGACUCCUACGGGAGGCAGCAGUGGGGAAUAUUGCACAAUGGGGGAAACCCUGAUGCAGCAACGCCGCGUGAGUGAAGAAGUAUUUCGGUAUGUAAAGCUCUAUCAGCAGGGAAGAAAAUGACGGUACCUGAGUAAGAAGCCCCGGCUAACUACGUGCCAGCAGCCGCGGUAAUACGUAGGGGGCAAGCGUUAUCCGGAUUUACUGGGUGUAAAGGGAGCGUAGACGGCGAUACAAGUCUGAAGUGAAAGCCCGGGGCUCAACCCCGGGACUGCUUUGGAAACUGUGUUGCUGGAGUGCUGGAGAGGCAAGCGGAAUUCCUAGUGUAGCGGUGAAAUGCGUAGAUAUUAGGAGGAACACCAGUGGCGAAGGCGGCUUACUGGACUGUAACUGACGUUGAGGCUCGAAAGCGUGGGGAGCAAACAGGAUUAGAUACCCUCGUAC
RNAcentral lists this ribosomal RNA (447 nucleotides) under uncultured bacterium. Its description in RNAcentral is "bacterial SSU rRNA". It matches the Rfam family "Bacterial small subunit ribosomal RNA", at positions 329 to 793 of the family's 1533-position model. The record is from RNAcentral.